UACAGAGGGGGCAAGCGUUGUUCGGAAUUACUGGGCGUAAAGGGCGCGUAGGCGGCCUGCUAAGUCGAACGUGAAAUCCCUGGGCUCAACCCAGGAACUGCGUCCGAUACUGGUUGGCUUGAAUCCGGGAGAGGGAUGUGGAAUUCCAGGUGUAGCGGUGAAAUGCGCAGAUAUCAGGAAGAACACCUAUGGCGAAGGCAGCACUCUGGGACGGUACUGACGCUGAGACGCGAAAGCGUGGGGAGCGAACAGG
RNAcentral lists this ribosomal RNA (253 nucleotides) under uncultured bacterium. RNAcentral describes it as "partial 16S ribosomal RNA". It matches the Rfam family "Bacterial small subunit ribosomal RNA", at positions 524 to 776 of the family's 1533-position model. The record is from RNAcentral.